ACUGCUAGAGUUACAAUGGUUAAGCACUUGGCUGCUAACCAAAAGGCUGGCGGUUCAAACCCGCUCAGUGGCU
RNAcentral lists this transfer RNA (73 nucleotides) under Loxodonta africana (African savanna elephant). It matches the Rfam family "tRNA". Rfam says of the family: Transfer RNA (tRNA) molecules are approximately 80 nucleotides in length. Their secondary structure includes four short double-helical elements and three loops (D, anti-codon, and T loops). The record is from Rfam by way of RNAcentral. Lineage: Eukaryota; Metazoa; Chordata; Mammalia; Proboscidea; Elephantidae.